AUUGAACGCUGGCGGCAUGCCUUACACAUGCAAGUCGAACGGCAGCGGACCUUCGGGUGCCGGCGAGUGGCGAACGGGUGAGUAAUGCAUCGGAACGUGCCAUUGAGUGGGGGAUAACGUAGCGAAAGUUGCGCUAAUACCGCAUAUUCUGUGCGCAGGAAAGCAGGGGACCGCAAGGCCUUGCGCUCUUUGAGCGGCCGAUGUCAGAUUAGCUAGUUGGUGAGGUAACGGCUUUACCAAGGCGACGAUCUGUAGCGGGUCUGAGAGGGAUGAUCCGCCACAC
RNAcentral lists this ribosomal RNA (283 nucleotides) under uncultured bacterium. Its description in RNAcentral is "partial 16S ribosomal RNA". It matches the Rfam family "Bacterial small subunit ribosomal RNA", at positions 30 to 313 of the family's 1533-position model. The record is from RNAcentral.